AGCUACAAAAGCAGAGAUAUCUCUCGUACCUUUUGCAUCAUGAUUUAGCAAGCAAUAACCAAGCAAAAGGCAUUUUAGUUUGGUUCCCCCGAAACCAAGUGAGCUACUCCAAGGCAACCUAUUAUAAUUAGGGUAAACCCGUCUCUGUGGCAAAAGAGUGGGAAGAACUUCGAGUAGAGGUGACAGACCUAUCGAACUUGGCAAUAGCUGGUUGCUUGAGAAACGAAUAGGAGUUCCACCUCUUGUAUUCUUCCCCUCCUUCCCCCUUCGGUCUUAUAACUAGGCCCCUCUACAAGUAAAAGAAGACAAGAGAGUCAAUCAAAGAGGGGUACAGCCCCUUUGAGACAAGAUACAACUUUUCCAGGUGGGUAAAGAUCAUAACUUGCCAAGGUAGUCAUGUUCUGGUGGGCCUGAAGGCAGCCAUCCCCCUUAGAAAGCGUCAUAGCUCUAACAUGUCCCUCCCCUCCCCCAAUCCCGACAACAAAUCUUAACCCCCUAACCCGUAUCAAGCCGUCCCAUAAAAACAUGGGAGUGAUAAUGCUAAAAUGAGUAAUAAGAGGACAACGCUUCUCUCCCUGUACACGCAUAAAUCGGAACGGACCCCCACCGAAACUUAACGGCCCCAAAUAAAGAGGGCAUUGCAUGGUAAGCAACAAACUAGAAAACCAUCCAAAACCCAACCGUUACCCCCACACUGGUGUACUCCUAGGGAAAGACUUAAAGGAAAAGAAGGAAUUAAGCAAACACACCUAAGCCUCGCCUGUUUACCAAAAACAUCGCCUCUUGUUUUUUACACAUAAGAGGUCUCGCCUGCCCCGUGACUAAUAGUUUAACGGCCGCGGUAUUUUGACCGUGCAAAGGUAGCGUAAUCAUUUGUCUGUUAAAUGAAGACCUGUAUGAAUGGCAUAACGAGGGCUUAACUGUCUCCUUUCCCCGGUCAAUGAAAUUGAUCUCCCCGUGCAGAAGCGGGGAUACUAACAUAAGACGAGAAGACCCUAUGGAGCUUUAGACACUGGGAUAGAUCAUAUGAACAACCGCCUUAAGCAAAUAAUAGUAUUGAAUCUCUAUUCCCCUGUCUUUGGUUGGGGCGACCCUGGGGAAAAAAGAAACCCCCACGUGGACUGGGAACACAUUAUUCCUACAAUUAUGAGCCACACCUCUAAGACGCAGAAUUUCUGACCAACCUGAUCCGGCUACGCCGAUUAACGGACCAAGUUACCCUAGGGAUAACAGCGCAAUCCUUUUCGAGAGCUCCUAUCGACAAAAGGGUUUACGACCUCGAUGUUGGAUCAAGACAUCCUAAUGGUGCAACCGCUAUUAAGGGUUCGUUUGUUCAACGAUUAAAGUCUU
Molecule: ribosomal RNA, 1350 nt
Filed under: Agonostomus catalai (Comoro mullet)
Lineage: Eukaryota; Metazoa; Chordata; Actinopteri; Mugiliformes; Mugilidae
Description: partial 16S ribosomal RNA
Rfam family: Bacterial large subunit ribosomal RNA
Source: RNAcentral